AACUCUAAAUUCUGCCAGAUCUUCUUUGCCAGGAGAGGCAGUUGUUCCUCGUCUGAUGCUGAACACUUCCUCUCUGCAGAACCAGAAGCAAAUUACUUCAAAUAAUUUCCUUAUAAGACAUUGCCGAUCCUGCUGUGACCUUCCUCCAUCCCUCUUGUUGCCUCUGGACAUAUAAUCCAACUCAAGUCCCAACAGGUCUACAAGGGUGAGGCACAAACUGUGACCCAUGAGGAGGUGUGCUACACCCCAAAAUCCCAGGGAAGAUUGGUGGAUCAAAAGGUGCAUGCAUCAUUUCCAGAACAACCUUUGAGCCUGUUGCUUAUUGGUGUAAUUGAAAAAUAUGGAGAAUGUUUAAGUUUUACAAAAUUAUUAUGGUUAAAAGACAUUACCAUUAACCUCCUCAAGAUGCCCUCACUUCAAACACACCUAUUUCAUCAUUCUUACCACUUCCUGAAGCAGUUCUGUAAGUCCUCUUUCCCAAGUGUCUAUAUUUUUGCUGUCAUGGCUGCCUCAGCGUCCUGAAUGGACUCAAAACAUUUAUCUUUCACAGUCAUUUUGACCUUGAGGAAGAGCCAGAAUUUGCAAUGCCAGACCCAACAAAUAAGGUGGAUGAAGACACAUCCUACUAUGUUUAUUUGAUGGAAAUUGCAUUAAAUAUUUUGAACUGAUUCCGGAACUGCUUCAGAAAGUGGCAAGAACAGUGGGAUAAGUGUGUUGGAAGCAAGGGAGAGUAUUUUGACAGGAAUUAAUGGUAAGUUUUCUUUCACUGUAGUAAUUUUUUAAAUUUUUAUUUAAGCAUGCACUAUAUUUUUAUCAGUCUUCAUUGAUGUAUUGUUUUGUUCUGUUUGAUAUGGAGGAUAGACCUCAGGACCUUGUUCUUGUGUGGGCCACUGAGCUAAAUCCCCAGCCCUCAUCGAUAAAUUUCUGUGUUGUUGAAUAUUUAUUUUACUAAGUAUUUUAUUAAAAAUUAGUAUCAAAACUUUUUCAGCAUUCAUUGGGAAGGAUUAUGUGAAUUUUCCUUAACUCUUGUGACUAUGAUAAAUUAUAUUAAUGAGUUUCCUAAUAUUAAAUCAUCCUCA
Molecule: long non-coding RNA, 1079 nt
Filed under: Fukomys damarensis (Damara mole-rat)
Lineage: Eukaryota; Metazoa; Chordata; Mammalia; Rodentia; Bathyergidae
Description: lncRNA (ENSFDAG00000023697.1)
Source: RNAcentral